Molecule: ribosomal RNA, 253 nt
Filed under: uncultured bacterium
Lineage: Bacteria
Description: partial 16S ribosomal RNA
Rfam family: Bacterial small subunit ribosomal RNA
Source: RNAcentral
UACGUAGGGUGCAAGCGUUGUCCGGAAUUAUUGGGCGUAAAGAGCUCGUAGGCGGUUCGUCGCGUCGGCUGUGAAAACCUGAGGCUCAACCUCAGGCCUGCAGUCGAUACGGGCGGACUUGAGUACUGCAGGGGAGACUGGAAUUCCUGGUGUAGCGGUGAAAUGCGCAGAUAUCAGGAGGAACACCGGUGGCGAAGGCGGGUCUCUGGGCAGUAACUGACGCUGAGGCGCGAAAGCUAGGGGAGCGAACAGG